AUAAUAACAUUAUCAAGAAUGUUCCUCCCCUCUAUGAAGGCCGACUGGGACUGCCCAACUAAAUAAUCCACAACUAGCUUUAGCCUAUUGUUAGAAUCUUAGAAAUGAUUUUAUACAGUGUUGAACAGCAGGCAAUGGGUCGAUGUACUUUGACAUAGCUGGGAUUAUUCAUUUUGGAAUCAAUGUGAUAGUUGUGCAAUUAAUCUGUUUCAAGAGUUUUCCAAUUUGGAAGAACUACUGCACUGCCUGUAUAAUU
RNAcentral lists this long non-coding RNA (256 nucleotides) under Nicotiana benthamiana. RNAcentral's name for it is "long non-coding RNA (NBEN_LNC004504)". The record is from RNAcentral. Lineage: Eukaryota; Viridiplantae; Streptophyta; Magnoliopsida; Solanales; Solanaceae.